CAGUAGCCGCGGUAAUGCGAAGGGGGCUAGCGUUGUUCGGAUUUACUGGGUGUAAAGGGCGCGUAGGCGGACUGAUAAGCCAGGGGUGAAAUCCCAAGGCUCAACCUUGGAACUGCCUUUGAUACUGUUUGUCUUGAGUUCGAGAGAGGUAAGUGGAACUGCGAGUGUAGAGGUGAAAUUCGUAGAUAUUCGCAAGAACACCAGUGGCGAAGGCGGCUCACUGGACCAUUUCUGACGCUGAGGAGCGAAAGCGUGGGGAGCGAACAGGAUUAGAUACCCCAGUAGUCCCUGUCUCUUAUAC
RNAcentral lists this ribosomal RNA (301 nucleotides) under uncultured bacterium. Its description in RNAcentral is "partial 16S ribosomal RNA". It matches the Rfam family "Bacterial small subunit ribosomal RNA", at positions 509 to 807 of the family's 1533-position model. The record is from RNAcentral.